GAUGAAGAACGUAGCGAAAUGCGAUAAGUAAUGUGAAUUGCAGAAUUCAGUGAAUCAUCGAAUCUUUGAACGCACAUUGCGCCCGCCAGCAUUCUGGCGGGCAUGCCUGUUCGAGCGUCAUUUCAACCCUCAAGCUCUGCUUGGUGUUGGGGCCCUACGGUUGACGUAGGCCCUUAAAGGUAGUGGCGGACCCUCUCGGAGCCUCCUUUGCGUAGUAACUAACGUCUCGCACUGGGAUUCGGAGGGACUCUUGCCGUAAAACCCCAAAAUUUUUAAAGGUUGACCUCGGAUCAGGUAGGAAUACCCGCUGAACUUAAGCAUAUCAAUAAGCGGAGGA
Molecule: unclassified non-coding RNA, 337 nt
Filed under: soil metagenome
Description: partial contains 5.8S ribosomal RNA, internal transcribed spacer 2, and large subunit ribosomal RNA
Rfam family: 5.8S ribosomal RNA (bases 1-120)
Source: RNAcentral